This 669-nucleotide ribosomal RNA is filed under the name Inocybe lanuginosa var. ovatocystis. RNAcentral's name for it is "eukaryotic LSU rRNA". It matches the Rfam family "Eukaryotic large subunit ribosomal RNA", at positions 1 to 653 of the family's 3401-position model. The record is from RNAcentral. Lineage: Eukaryota; Fungi; Basidiomycota; Agaricomycetes; Agaricales; Inocybaceae.
UUGACCUCAAAUCAGGUAGGACUACCCGCUGAACUUAAGCAUAUCAAUAAGCGGAGGAAAAGAAACUAACAAGGAUUCCCCUAGUAACUGCGAGUGAAGCGGGAAAAGCUCAAAUUUGAAAUCUGGCGGUUUUUGACCGUCCGAGUUGUAAUCUAGAGAAGUGUUACCUGUGCUGGACCGUGUAAAAGUCUCCUGGAAUGGAGCAUCAUAGAGGGUGAGAAUCCCGUCUUUGACAUGGACAACCAGUGCGUCGUGGUGCGCUCUCAAAGAGUCGAGUUGUUUGGGAAUGCAGCUCAAAAUGGGUGGUAAAUGCCAUCUAAAGCUAAAUAUUGGCGAGAGACCGAUAGCGAACAAGUACCGUGAGGGAAAGAUGAAAAGCACUUUGGAAAGAGAGUUAAACAGUACGUGAAAUUGCUGAAAGGGAAACGCUUGAAGUCAGUCACGUCGGCUAGAAAUCAGCCUUGCUUCUGCUCGGUGUACUUUCUGGUUGACGGGUCAGCAUCAAUUUCGACCGCUGGACAAAGUCUUUGGGAAUGUGGCAUCCUCGGAUGUGUUAUAGCCCAUCGUCGCAUGCAGUGGUUGGGAUUGAGGAACUCAGCACGCCGCAAGGCCGGGUUUCGACCACGUUCGUGCUUAGGAUGCUGGCAUAAUGGCUUUAAUCGACCCGUC